RNAcentral lists this ribosomal RNA (252 nucleotides) under uncultured bacterium. RNAcentral describes it as "partial 16S ribosomal RNA". It matches the Rfam family "Bacterial small subunit ribosomal RNA", at positions 524 to 776 of the family's 1533-position model. The record is from RNAcentral.
UACGGAGGAUGCGAGCGUUAUCCGGAUUUAUUGGGUUUAAAGGGUGCGUAGGCGGGAUGCCAAGUCAGCGGUAAAAAUGCGGUGCUCAACGCCGUCGAGCCGUUGAAACUGGCGUUCUUGAGUGGGCGAGAAAUAUGCGGAAUGCGUGGUGUAGCGGUGAAAUGCAUAGAUAUCACGCAGAACUCCGAUUGCGAAGGCAGCAUACCGGCGCCCUACUGACGCUGAGGCACGAAAGCGUGGGUAUCGAACAGG